Molecule: ribosomal RNA, 461 nt
Filed under: uncultured bacterium
Lineage: Bacteria
Description: partial 16S ribosomal RNA
Rfam family: Bacterial small subunit ribosomal RNA
Source: RNAcentral
CCUACGGGGGGCAGCAGUGAGGAAUAUUGGUCAAUGGGCUUACGCCUGAACCAGCCAAGUCGCGUGAGGGAAGACUGCCCUAUGGGUUGUAAACCUCUUUUGUCAGGGAGCAAUUGGCGCUACGUGUAGCGUUAUCGAGAGUACCUGAAGAAAAAGCAUCGGCUAACUCCGUGCCAGCAGCCGCGGUAAUACGGAGGAUGCGAGCGUUAUCCGGAUUUAUUGGGUUUAAAGGGUGCGUAGGUGGUUAAUUAAGUCAGCGGUGAAAGUUUGUGGCUCAACCAUAAAAUUGCCGUUGAAACUGGUUGACUUGAGUAUAUUUGAGGUAGGCGGAAUGCGUGGUGUAGCGGUGAAAUGCAUAGAUAUCACGCAGAACUCCGAUUGCGAAGGCAGCUUACUAAACUAUAACUGACACUGAGGCUCGAAAGUGUGGGUAUCAAACAGGAUUAGAUACCCGAGUAGUC